GGGUUGUGAGGUUAAGCGACUAAGCGUACACGGUGGAUGCCCUGGCAGUCAGAGGCGAUGAAGGACGUGCUAAUCUGCGAUAAGCGCCGGUAAGGUGAUAUGAACCGUUAUAACCGGCGAUUUCCGAAUGGGGAAACCCAGUGUGAUUCGUCACACUAUCAUUACGUGAAUACAUAGCGUAAUGAAGCGAACCGGGGGAACUGAAACAUCUAAGUACCCCGAGGAAAAGAAAUCAACCGAGAUUCCCCCAGUAGCGGCGAGCGAACGGGGAGGAGCCCAGAGCCUGAAUCAGCAUGUGUGUUAGUGGAAGCGUCUGGAAAGGCGCGCGAUACAGGGUGACAGCCCCGUACACAAAAGCGCAUGUGCUGUGAGCUCGAUGAGUAGGGCGGGACACGUGGUAUCCUGUCUGAAUAUGGGGGGACCAUCCUCCAAGGCUAAAUACUCCUGACUGACCGAUAGUGAACCAGUACCGUGAGGGAAAGGCGAAAAGAACCCCGGCGAGGGGAGUGAAAAAGAACCUGAAACCGUGUACGUACAAGCAGUGGGAGCACAGGUUUACCUGUGUGACUGCGUACCUUUUGUAUAAUGGGUCAGCGACUUAUAUUCUGUAGCAAGGUUAACCGAAUAGGGGAGCCGGAGGGAAACCGAGUCUUAACCGGGCGUUAAGUUGCAGGGUAUAGACCCGAAACCCGGUGAUCUAGCCAUGGGCAGGUUGAAGGUUGGGUAACACUAACUGGAGGACCGAACCGACUAAUGUUGAAAAAUUAGCGGAUGACCUGUGGCUGGGGGUGAAAGGCCAAUCAAACCGGGAGAUAGCUGGUUCUCCCCGAAAGCUAUUUAGGUAGCGCCUCGUGAAUUCAUCUCCGGGGGUAGAGCACUGUUUCGGCUAGGGGGCCAUCCCGGCUUACCAACCCGAUGCAAACUGCGAAUACCGGAGAAUGUUAUCACGGGAGACACACGGCGGGUGCUAACGUCCGUCGUGAAGAGGGAAACAACCCAGACCGCCAGCUAAGGUCCCAAAGUCAUGGUUAAGUGGGAAACGAUGUGGGAAGGCCCAGACAGCCAGGAUGUUGGCUUAGAAGCAGCCAUCAUUUAAAGAAAGCGUAAUAGCUCACUGGUCGAGUCGGCCUGCGCGGAAGAUGUAACGGGGCUAAACCAUGCACCGAAGCUGCGGCAGCGACACUGUGUGUUGUUGGGUAGGGGAGCGUUCUGUAAGCCUGCGAAGGUGGCCUGUGAGGGUUGCUGGAGGUAUCAGAAGUGCGAAUGCUGACAUAAGUAACGAUAAAGCGGGUGAAAAGCCCGCUCGCCGGAAGACCAAGGGUUCCUGUCCAACGUUAAUCGGGGCAGGGUGAGUCGACCCCUAAGGCGAGGCCGAAAGGCGUAGUCGAUGGGAAACGGGUUAAUAUUCCCGUACUUGGUGUUACUGCGAAGGGGGGACGGAGAAGGCUAUGUUGGCCGGGCGACGGUUGUCCCGGUUUAAGCGUGUAGGUGUGUGUUCCAGGUAAAUCCGGUUCACUUUAACACUGAGGCGUGAUGACGAGGCACUACGGUGCUGAAGCAACAAAUGCCCUGCUUCCAGGAAAAGCCUCUAAGCAUCAGGUAACAUCAAAUCGUACCCCAAACCGACACAGGUGGUCAGGUAGAGAAUACCAAGGCGCUUGAGAGAACUCGGGUGAAGGAACUAGGCAAAAUGGUGCCGUAACUUCGGGAGAAGGCACGCUGACACGUAGGUGAAGUGAUUUACUCAUGGAGCUGAAGUCAGUCGAAGAUACCAGCUGGCUGCAACUGUUUAUUAAAAACACAGCACUGUGCAAACACGAAAGUGGACGUAUACGGUGUGACGCCUGCCCGGUGCCGGAAGGUUAAUUGAUGGGGUCAGCGCAAGCGAAGCUCCUGAUCGAAGCCCCGGUAAACGGCGGCCGUAACUAUAACGGUCCUAAGGUAGCGAAAUUCCUUGUCGGGUAAGUUCCGACCUGCACGAAUGGCGUAAUGAUGGCCAGGCUGUCUCCACCCGAGACUCAGUGAAAUUGAACUCGCUGUGAAGAUGCAGUGUACCCGCGGCAAGACGGAAAGACCCCGUGAACCUUUACUAUAGCUUGACACUGAACAUUGAGCCUUGAUGUGUAGGAUAGGUGGGAGGCUUUGAAGCGUGGACGCCAGUCUGCGUGGAGCCGACCUUGAAAUACCACCCUUUAAUGUUUGAUGUUCUAACGUGGACCCGUGAUCCGGGUUGCGGACAGUGUCUGGUGGGUAGUUUGACUGGGGCGGUCUCCUCCUAAAGAGUAACGGAGGAGCACGAAGGUUGGCUAAUCCUGGUCGGACAUCAGGAGGUUAGUGCAAUGGCAUAAGCCAGCUUGACUGCGAGCGUGACGGCGCGAGCAGGUGCGAAAGCAGGUCAUAGUGAUCCGGUGGUUCUGAAUGGAAGGGCCAUCGCUCAACGGAUAAAAGGUACUCCGGGGAUAACAGGCUGAUACCGCCCAAGAGUUCAUAUCGACGGCGGUGUUUGGCACCUCGAUGUCGGCUCAUCACAUCCUGGGGCUGAAGUAGGUCCCAAGGGUAUGGCUGUUCGCCAUUUAAAGUGGUACGCGAGCUGGGUUUAGAACGUCGUGAGACAGUUCGGUCCCUAUCUGCCGUGGGCGCUGGAGAACUGAGGGGGGCUGCUCCUAGUACGAGAGGACCGGAGUGGACGCAUCACUGGUGUUCGGGUUGUCAUGCCAAUGGCACUGCCCGGUAGCUAAAUGCGGAAGAGAUAAGUGCUGAAAGCAUCUAAGCACGAAACUUGCCCCGAGAUGAGUUCUCCCUGAGACUACGAGUCUCCUGAAGGAACGUUGAAGACGACGACGUUGAUAGGCCGGGUGUGUAAGCGCAGCGAUGCGUUGAGCUAACCGGUACUAAUGAACCGUGAGGCUUAACCUUACAACGCCGAAG
This 2928-nucleotide ribosomal RNA is filed under the name Salmonella enterica subsp. enterica serovar 43:a:1,7. RNAcentral's name for it is "23S ribosomal RNA". It matches the Rfam family "Bacterial large subunit ribosomal RNA". Lineage: Bacteria; Pseudomonadati; Pseudomonadota; Gammaproteobacteria; Enterobacterales; Enterobacteriaceae. The record is from RNAcentral.